AACGAACGCUGGCGGCAUGCCUAACACAUGCAAGUCGAACGAGACCUUCGGGUCUAGUGGCGCACGGGUGCGUAACGCGUGGGAACCUGCCCUUAGGUUCGGAAUAACUCCCCGAAAGGGGUGCUAAUACCGGAUAAUGUCUUCGGACCAAAGAUUUAUCGCCUUUGGAUGGGCCCGCGUUGGAUUAGCUAGUUGGUAGGGUAAAAGCCUACCAAGGCGACGAUCCAUAGCUGGUCUGAGAGGAUGAUCAGCCGCACUGGGACUAAGACACGGCCCAGACUCCUAGGGGAGGCAGCAGUGGGGAAUAUUGGACAAUGGGCGAAAGCCUGAUCCAGCAAUGCCGCGUGAGUGAUGAAGGCCUUAGGGUUGUAAAGCUCUUUUACCCGGGAUGAUAAUGACAGUACCGGGAGAAUAAGCACCGGCUAACUCCGUG
RNAcentral lists this ribosomal RNA (433 nucleotides) under uncultured bacterium. RNAcentral's name for it is "partial 16S ribosomal RNA". It matches the Rfam family "Bacterial small subunit ribosomal RNA", at positions 29 to 507 of the family's 1533-position model. The record is from RNAcentral.